Long non-coding RNA from Beta vulgaris subsp. vulgaris (sugar beet), 1323 nucleotides. RefSeq lists it as uncharacterized. The transcript is spliced from 3 exons. The record is from RefSeq and is a predicted model, not a curated record. NCBI's taxonomy places the organism in Eukaryota, Viridiplantae, Streptophyta, Magnoliopsida, Caryophyllales, Amaranthaceae.
CAUUAACGUCCGAUCGUAUCUUUUACGGACCACUUCAUAGUCUGAAACUGACAACGAGCAGUGUAACAACGAUUUUUUCCACGGAAGCUGAUUACCGACCACUUUAUGAUUAUCACCGAUCGCUCAAUGGUCAAUAAAGGUCUACCCAGUAAUUUGAAAAUUUUUAACUCCCACGUUUCCCCCUUUCCACUAUAUUCUAAUCAGUUAAAAAAAUAACCCUAAGCUUCCUUGGACCCUUUGAGAAAUUGAUGCUUCCCUCUCCAAUCUUGCUCAUCUUCACAUCGUUACCUUCGUCAAAGAGCGUCAUUGGCGUCUACGCCAUCGCACCGUUUUCAGGUUAACUCCAGUCUCCGUCUUCCCAAUGAAUCUCCGUCGACUUAUCAUUUCAGUCUCCGUUCCUUUCGUCUCAACAAGCGGACCACUCUGUUUGUUCGUUUUGUUUCGUCGUACUCCAUUGAUCUAGAUUUGCUUCUUCUCGAAGUCUUUUCACCAGCAAUAACCUCGAGCAAAACCAAUCGAUCACCGAUGAACUUUCGACUGUAGCGAGAGCUUGCGUUUGAGGUGAAGAUCUGGAUUUGUGUUUGAGGUCUCAACCAAAUCAGGUUAUUUCGUAGUACCGUAGCACCGUAGCACUGCCACCUGAAGAUUACAUGUCUUUAUGAUUUUUAGUAAUUCGGUAAUUAUCUCUAUUCUGAUUUUUCUAUAAUUUUCUCUUUUUUAUUUUCUGUAAUUUUAUUUAAUUGAUUUUCUGUAAUUUAUGUAUUUUUUUAUGUAAUUAUCUCUUCUUCCUUAUUUUCUAUAAUUUAUUAUUACAAAUCUACGAUUUUUUUUGUGAAGAACCAUUGAUUUUUUACUAGUGGCAGCUUGCUGAUUGAUGGAAAACUGAAUUAAAACUUAAAUUUCGUUUUUAACUUGAAAAUGUUUUGGUUAUUAUACUAAGCAGAUUGAAAAUCUUGCUGAUUUUUGCUUCUUUAUUAAUUUGAUGUGCUAUUAAGGUCUAUUUGGGCCCAUUUCUUGGACCAGCACAUGCCCGAUAAAAAUACUAAAAUACCCUUAUUUUUAGGGCUAUCAAUCCUCCACCAGUUGGAGUUAGCCUAAGUACCAUACUUUAUUGGAAUUCACAACCCCACUAUAAAUAGUGGUUGUCCCAUCAUCUAAAAGGUAUUCAAUACUCACCUAACAAGCUAGUACAUCUCUCUCUACAGUUAUCGCCUUCUCUCUCUACCUUAAUUACUGACUUAAGCGUCGAAGAGGCGUUCUAGGGAAAACCCCUAGGAUAGUUUUUCAGUGUGCUUUGCAGGUUUACUGCCGUCAAGACCCAUC